UACAGAGGGUGCAAGCGUUAAUCGGAAUUACUGGGCGUAAAGCGAGCGUAGGUGGCUUGAUAAGUCAGAUGUGAAAUCCCCGGGCUUAACCUGGGAACUGCAUCUGAUACUGUCAGGUUAGAGUAGGUGAGAGGAAGGUAGAAUUCCAGGUGUAGCGGUGAAAUGCGUAGAGAUCUGGAGGAAUACCGAUGGCGAAGGCAGCCUUCUGGCAUCAUACUGACACUGAGGCUCGAAAGCGUGGGUAGCAAACAGG
This 253-nucleotide ribosomal RNA is filed under the name uncultured microorganism. RNAcentral's name for it is "partial 16S ribosomal RNA". It matches the Rfam family "Bacterial small subunit ribosomal RNA", at positions 524 to 776 of the family's 1533-position model. The record is from RNAcentral.